GUAGUUAGCCGGGGCUUCCUCCUAAGCUACCGUCAUUCUUUUCGUCACUUAGGACAGAGGUUUACAACCCGAAAGCCUUCUUCCCUCACGCGGCGUUGCUGGGUCAGGCUUGCGCCCAUUGCCCAAUAUUCCCCACUGCUGCCUCCCGUAGGAGUCUGGACCGUGUCUCAGUUCCAAUGUGGCCGUUCACCCUCUCAGGUCGGCUACCCAUCGCUGUCUUGGUGGGCCGUUACCUCACCAACUAACUAAUGGGACGCGAGCUCACCCCAAACCGGAUUGCUCCUUUUCCCUCAAGGCCAUGUGACCUCGUGGGCUUACGCGGUAUUAGCAGAUGUUUCCAUCUGUUAUCCCCCUGUCUGGGACAGAUUGCUCACGCGUUACUCACCCGUCCGCCGCUAGGUUCGACCGAAGUCUCCCCUCGCUCGACUUGCAUGUGUUAGGCACGCCGCCAGCGUUCGUCCUGAGCCAGGAUCAAACUCUGA
RNAcentral lists this ribosomal RNA (482 nucleotides) under uncultured bacterium. RNAcentral describes it as "partial 16S ribosomal RNA". The record is from RNAcentral.